GAUCCUACGGGGCGCAGCAGUGGGGAAUAUUGCACAAUGGGGGAAACCCUGAUGCAGCGACGCCGCGUGAGCGAAGAAGUAUUUCGGUAUGUAAAGCUCUAUCAGCAGGGAAGAAAAUGACGGUACCUGACUAAGAAGCUCCGGCUAAAUACGUGCCAGCAGCCGCGGUAAUACAUAGGGAGCAAGCGUUAUCCGGAUUUAUUGGGUGUAAAGGGUGCGUAGACGGGAAAUUAAGUUAGUUGUGAAAUCCCUCGGCUUAACUGAGGAACUGCAACUAAAACUGAUUUUCUUGAGUACUGGAGAGG
Molecule: ribosomal RNA, 305 nt
Filed under: uncultured bacterium
Lineage: Bacteria
Description: bacterial SSU rRNA
Rfam family: Bacterial small subunit ribosomal RNA
Source: RNAcentral